RNAcentral lists this long non-coding RNA (936 nucleotides) under Nicotiana benthamiana. RNAcentral's name for it is "long non-coding RNA (NBEN_LNC037662)". Lineage: Eukaryota; Viridiplantae; Streptophyta; Magnoliopsida; Solanales; Solanaceae. The record is from RNAcentral.
UUUCUUAAAAGUGGUUUGAAUGCUUCUCUUGCAAUAGAAUUGACCCCUCUCUUUCUAUCUCUUCCCAUAUACUACUAUUUAUAUGGAAUAUUCUAAAGAACCCUAGAAGGUACGAGGGAACAUGUUUAAUAUUCCCUUCAUUGAUUCCAAAACCAAACUGAACGUUAUUUCCCUUCCCUGCUUGAUGUCUGCCCUAGCGAGCCACUUUAUGGCUCGUUUCGCUUGUCAUCGACUUCGGCCUUAAUGAACCCUUCAAUGGCUUGCCCUGGUCGUACUCGGCUGAGCCGACCAUGGUGAGCUACGAUCUCAAUGGUGAUCACCUUUGGGUAUUGAGUUUCCAAGAUCAGAUUUGAGUCCAUACAAUAUUGUCCUCAUUGACGAGUAACAUACAGUCAAGCUUGACCAAAAAAUAUUUGAAGAACGAACACCAACACUUACCUAUUGCAGCAGCAAUCAAGGAGCAGCAGGCGCUCUAAAUUGCUAACUUGUCAAUUGCAACAACAACUAACGAACAGCAGAAGCAGCAUCAACAACUGACGGGUUACGUGCUCCAGCUCACAAAAUCCACUCCAAUUACACAUUCUAACUGGAGUCUCAAAGUCAUUCUAAGCAGCAGCUAAUCAUAGAAAGGCAAUCCCCAAAAACUAGAAAGAAAAUGGUUAAACACAGAGGCAACAAGAAAGAAAAUGGUUAAACAUUGGUAAUUUUUCGUAAAUCACUAUCUUUUAAUAGUAAUUAGAAUACAUUUUUUGUGGUUAUAAGAUGUAUUCGAUGUAUUUAAGCUAUUGUAUUAUGAAUACAGUAACAAAAAUAUGCGUGAAUCAGUGAAGUCCAACUAAUUACCUGUUGCAUUCGAGUGUAUUCGACUGUAUUUAUGGAGUAAAACGUGAGAUUACAGUUGGACAGAUUAUUGUAUUCGACUGUAUUUACAGUGUG